AAGGUUAGCCAUGCAUGUCCAAGUAUAAAUCUGGUACAAGAUGAAACUGCGAAUGGCUCAUUAAAUCAGUUCUAGUUUCUUUGAUGGUGUCUUACUACAUGGAUAACCGUAGUAACAUAGAGCUAAUACGUGCUUCAAAUCCUGACUGGUGCUCUCGGGUGCCUGGAAUAGGAUGUAUUUAUUAGAUCCAAAACCAAUGCGUUGUCGCGUGCUUUCGGGUGCGUGGUGGCGGUUAUGUUGGUGAUUCAUGCUAACUUUUCGGAUCGCAUGGCCUUGCGCUGGCGAUGCUUCAUUCAAGUUUCUGCCCUAUCAACUGUCGAUGGUAGGGUAUUGGCCUACCAUGGUUGUAACGGGUGACGGAGAAUUAGGGUUCGGUUCCGGAGAGGGAGCCUGAGAAAUGGCUACCACAUCUAUGGAUGGCAGCAGGCGCGCAAAUUACCCAAUCCCGACCUGGGGAGGUAGUGACAAUAAAUAACAAUGCGGUUCCAUCUUUGGUUCUGCAAUUGGAAUGAGAACAAUCUAAACACCUUAACGAGGAGCAAUUGGAGGGCAAGUCUGGUGCCAGCAGCCGCGGUAAUUCCAGCUCCAAUAGCGUAUAUUAAAGUUGUUGCAGUUAAAAAGCUCGUAGUUGGAUUUCGGAGCGGUCGGGUUGGUCCGCCCAGCGUGGUGUGCACUGGCCUUGGUGGUAUGGCUGGGGUUGCUUCUUUCACGAGGGGCUUCCUUUAGUCUGCCGCCCUUGUUGCGUGUACACGUAGCAGGUGACCGUUCUUCUCCCUCGGAGACGGAGUCUGUCCUUCACUGGAUGGGCUUUGGAUGCGAGGUGUUUACUUUGAAAAAAUUAGAGUGUUCAAAGCAGGCCUUAUCUUCGCUUGAAUACAUUAGCAUGGAAUAAUGGAAUAGGACUCUGUGCCUAUUUUGUUGGUUUGAAGGCAGAGAGUAAUGAUUAAUAGGGACAGUUGGGGGCAUUCGUAUUUAAUUGUCAGAGGUGAAAUUCUUGGAUUUCUGAAAGACGAACAACUGCGAAAGCAUUUGCCAAGGAUGUUUUCAUUAAUCAAGAACGAAAGUUAGGGGUUCGAAGACGAUCAGAUACCGUCGUAGUCCUAACCAUAAACAAUGCCGACUAGGGAUCAGCGUACGUUCGUUCUAUGGGACGUCGUUGGCACCUUACGA
This 1170-nucleotide ribosomal RNA is filed under the name Dictyaulus hydrangeaformis. Its description in RNAcentral is "SSU rRNA". It matches the Rfam family "Eukaryotic small subunit ribosomal RNA", at positions 40 to 1093 of the family's 1831-position model. The record is from RNAcentral. Lineage: Eukaryota; Metazoa; Porifera; Hexactinellida; Lyssacinosida; Euplectellidae.